GACGAACGCUGGCGGCGUGCUUAACACAUGCAAGUCGAACGAUGAACCCGGAGCUUGCUCCGGUGGAUUAGUGGCGAACGGGUGAGUAACACGUGAGUAACCUGCCCUUGACUCUGGGAUAACUGCGGGAAACUGUAGCUAAUACCGGAUACGACCCUCGGCGGCAUCGCCAGGGGGUGGAAAGAAUUUCGGUCAAGGAUGGACUCGCGGCCUAUCAGCUAGUUGGGGAGGUAACGGCUCACCAAGGCGACGACGGGUAGCCGGCCUGAGAGGGUAACCGGCCACACUGGGACUGAGACACGGCCCAGACUCCUACGUGAGGCAUGAGUGGAGAAUAUUGCACAAUGAGCGCAAGCCUGAUGCAGCAACGCCGCGUGGGGGAUGACGGCCUUCGGGUUGUAAACCUCUUUUAGUAGGGAAGAAGCGAAAGUGACGGUACCCGCAGAAAAAGCACCGGCUAACUACGUGCCAGCCGCCGCGGUAA
This 484-nucleotide ribosomal RNA is filed under the name uncultured bacterium. RNAcentral describes it as "partial 16S ribosomal RNA". It matches the Rfam family "Bacterial small subunit ribosomal RNA", at positions 28 to 523 of the family's 1533-position model. The record is from RNAcentral.